Molecule: unclassified non-coding RNA, 350 nt
Filed under: uncultured fungus
Lineage: Eukaryota; Fungi
Description: partial contains small subunit ribosomal RNA, internal transcribed spacer 1, and 5.8S ribosomal RNA
Rfam family: Eukaryotic small subunit ribosomal RNA (bases 1-73)
Source: RNAcentral
GCAAACUUGGUCAUUUAGAGGAAGUAAAAGUCGUAACAAGGUCUCCGUUGGUGAACCAGCGGAGGGAUCAUUACCGAGUUUCCACGCGAACUCCCAAACCCACCGUGAACCUUACCUCUCGUUGCUUCGGCGGGCUCGGCCCCGGGGCCGCCCCCCAGCGGGCGGGCCCCGGACGACAGGCCCCCGCCGGAGGCCCCAGAACUCUCGUGUUUCCCCUCCCGGGCGCCCCCCGGGAGCGUCUUCUCUGAGUGGCGCCGACCCCCCAGCGGGGCGCGCGCGACACGCAAACAAAACGAAUCAAAACUUUCAACAACGGAUCUCUUGGUUCUGGCAUCGAUGAAGAACGCAGC